Molecule: ribosomal RNA, 136 nt
Organism: Cavia aperea (Brazilian guinea pig)
Lineage: Eukaryota; Metazoa; Chordata; Mammalia; Rodentia; Caviidae
Source: Ensembl
CUAGGGCCAUACCACCCUGAACGCGCCUGAUCUCGUCUGAUCUCGGAAGCUAAGCAGGGUUGGGGCUGGUUAGUACUUGGAUGGGAGAAGUGCACAAUUCACAACAGCUAAAUCUUGGAAGCAGAAGCAGCCUAGA